UCUGAUGAAUACACCUUUGCCAAUUCCACCCAUGCCUAUUAUUUCCUUUAAUUCCUCCCUCUCAACUCUCCUCUUCUUCACUACUCUAAUGUUUCUGGUAAGGUUUCUUCUUUACUCUUUUGUAUAUAUUUUUAUAUUCAUGAUAUUGUUAAUCGAUGGAAGGUAAAAGCAUAAGUGGAUCCAAAUAAAACGAAUCGAUUAAAACAGAAUUUCUUUAGGAGUUUCGAAUUGCUUUUAUAAGGAACUGAUUUGAUCUGAUUUAACACGUAAUCGCUGAUGUUACUCCUUUUAUAUUUAUAAUACUGUUCUAUCAUUCAUUUUAUUUUGUAUUUCUUUCCUUUGCAUUGUUGUAUGUAUUAUAUCUAUAGCACAACAACUCGCCAUGUUAAUUCUCCUUUAUCAUUGAAAAUAAAACCACACUUAAAUCGCGUAAAUAAAAAAUUAAUCUAUCCAGACCAAAUCUCGAUCGUUCAUUGGAAUUUUACAUUGCAAUCCUUAUGCUCGAUUUUUGUCAUUUGACCCAUUGAAUCAAACUAAACCACGUCGAAAGGUUAAGGUUCGAUUUUUGUAAGUGUAUCCUAAAAGUAAUUAAAAUAAAAUAAAAAGAGGCUGUUCCCGAUAACAGGGAGGUAAUAGGGUCGAUUAGACAAAAUAAUUGUCUCUACUGAGUACUGAGAAUAGAGAAAAAAAUGUACCUAAUUAUAUUGUUGUAUUAUCUACACACUCUACUAUAUUACAUAGAUAUUAUAUUUUUUCCUAGGACAGGUUUUGUUGAUCUACAUUUUUAUUUUGCUUGGAGGAUAGUGAAAAUUAGUUUAUUUGGGGGAAACUUAGUUUUCAAUUUGCCAUUGCUACCAAAGUAGAUUUAUUUCAUCACCAUAAAAUCACAAAUAUAAAAAGUUAUCGUAGUUAUGAUUCAAACAGAUUUGUUGGGAGGUUCAAGUUGGUCUCAGAAAGAUGAGAUUGAACAUGGUAAAGACUAGAGAUCAAGACGUAUGACCACACGCAAGAUUAUGGAUUUAAAGUUGAUGCGUUAUUUUUAUUAGUUGGCAAAAAAAUUUAGUUUGACACCGGAGACAGAAAUUUGGGGAGGGAGAACCUUUGCUCUAUGUGGUGGUGUACUGUUAUAAAUUCUAUUGUAAACUUUCAUGCAUAAACUAUUAUGAAUAUACUAAUCUUUUUCAUAAAAAUAAGUAAAAGGAAGUUUAUUCUUCACAUGGACGGAGAACUCUUAUAUCUAAGUGAGUGUACUUUUUUUAUGAAUUUCUCCACAUCUAUAUAAUUAUAGACGGAAAAUUUACUUUGUUGGUGCACCUUGAUCGAAAAAUUACGGUUUUGGUGCACCUUUUGAAAAAAUUACCAGUUUUAGGGUAAAUCGGCAACCUCAUUGCCGAUUUAUAGAAAAGAAAUAUUUUUUAAAUGUACUCCCCCUAACUCGGCAAUAGGGGGAGUUUUUACCAAAUAUAUUAUUUUUUUAAUCUCCUCCCCCUAAAUUGGCAAUGGGGGAGGAGUUUUUCUCAAAUAUUUUUUUUUAACCUCCUCCCCUAACUCGGCAAUGGGAGAGGAGUUUUUCAAUAAUUGACUUUUUUUUUAAAUCUCCCCCCUAAGUCGGCAAUGGGGGGAGUUUUGUAAUAAUUUUUUUUUUAAUUUUCCUCCCCUAACUCGGCAAUGGGGGAGGAGUUUUUCAAAAGAUUAAAUUUUUAAUUAUCCUCCCCCUAACUCGGCAAUGGCAGUGCCGAUUUCAUUGGAAAUUUUUUUGGCCAGAAUGAAUCUCGGCAAUGGCACUGCCGAUUUUCAUUUACAUAUUUUGGCAAUAAAUACUAUGCCAUCAAUAUUUAUUGUGCAGAGCAAUAUUAUGCACUUAAUGAAUAUAAUUAAUGAAUUCAACCACUCACUAAAUUAAUGAAUAUUAUGCACUUAAUGAAUAUUGUGCAGAAACAAUAUUCAACUAAAUUUAAUGAAUUCAACCAUAAAUAUAUUUAAUUCGGUCAAACAACCUAUUGAAUUAUCCUCCCCCUAAUUAUAUUCAUUAAGUGCAUUCAAUCUUUUGAAAAACUCCUCCCCCAUUGCCGAGUUAGGGGAGGUAAAUUAAAAAAAAAUUAUUACAAAACUCCCCCCAUUGCCGAUUUAGGGGGGAGAUUUAAAAAAAAUCAAUUAUUGAAAAACUCCUCCCCCAUUGCCGAGUUAGGGGAAGAGGUUAAAAAAAAUAUUUGAGAAAAACUCCUCCCCCAUUGCCGAUUUAGGGGGAGGAGAUUAAAAAAAUAAUAUAUUUGGUAAAAACUCCCCCCUAUUGCCGAGUUAGGGGGGAGUACAUUUAAAAAAUAUUUCUUUUCUGUAAAUCGGCAAUGGGGUUGCCGAUUUACCCUAAAACUACACUACUUUGGUAAUUUUUUCAAAAGGUGCACCAAGACCGUAAUUUUUCGGUCAAGGUGCACCAACAAAGUAAAUUUUCCAAUUAUAGACGUUGAUUUCUCUCUCUUGACCUAUUUCUUAAUAAUGCAUUAAUAGUGAAGAUAAUGUACUUUUUGGUUGAUUAGAAUGAUGACCUCAUCCUUAAUUUUUAGGUUUUGAUAAGGUGUUUUCAUCAUAUAUUUUUAUAUAACAUGUAAGAUAAUUAUACAAAUAGGCAUUUCACUUAUAUCUAUUAGAUUCCAUUUAUUAUUUAAAUAAAAAUAAUAUCAACAUGAUUUAGCUGUAUCAUUUAUUAUUAAACCAUUAUAUGCUCUUAAGCUGCUGGUUGAUAAGUAUUUAAUUAUUUAAAAAAAUGAAAUAUUUAAUACUUAUAUCUUGUGCUUAAGACUUACAAAAUCUGAAAAUCAUCAUAAGCUUCUUUCAACAUGAAGACAAAGAUAAUUAGACAUGAAUGAUGUGUCAAAAACUGAUUUUCCUAGAAACUUAGUGGGUGAAGGCUGUAUCAUAGGGAUGGGGAUCACAAUGUCCCCAUUCAUGUCUUAUUUGAUGUACCAAGCCAAUCAUAGAGCUUCAUUCCUUUAAAAAGAAGAAUUAUAAAAACAGAAAUUAAUAUUUUAAUAUUAUUUUGUGAUGUUUAAUUAGUUCGGGACAGGGAGACGGGAAAAUUGUGGGACAGGUGAUCCUUGUCCGUAUCAUAGAGUUUGGCAAAGUUUUGUGUUUGUCCAAGCUUAAAAAAUCUUUACCUUUAUAUAAGUUAAGAGUUUGACUAUAGUGAAGAUAUUUAUUGAGAGUGAUAGUCAUACACCUUAAAAGUGAGAAAAAAAUUGGUUUGACAUCGGAGGCAGAGAAAUUUGGGGAGGGAGAACUUUUGAUGUAUGUGGUGGUGUACUAUACAAUUAUAAAUUCCAUUGUAAAUUUUGCUGCAUAAAUUAUCAUAAAUGUACUAAUCUUUUUUAUAAAAAUAAGUAAAAGAAAGUGUAUUGUUCUCAUGGACAGAG
Molecule: long non-coding RNA, 3410 nt
Filed under: Lupinus angustifolius (narrow-leaved blue lupine)
Lineage: Eukaryota; Viridiplantae; Streptophyta; Magnoliopsida; Fabales; Fabaceae
Description: long non-coding RNA (LANG_LNC000707)
Source: RNAcentral